GCACACAAUAAAUUGAGUUUAGUGAAGCAUUGCAUUGCAAGGUCUGAAGUCCUAUAAUAGCUUAGAUGUAAAUAUAAUUUUUGACAUGAAGUUCGAGGUAGAGGCCGGCAGGCAACCAUGUAAGAAGCAAAUCAGGUUGAUUCUUCGCUCUCAAGACGAAUCCUCUUGGUACCAACCUCGUCGCUAGCCGGCACCCUAUUCUCCUUUGCUUCCACCGAACAUCUCUUGUAUGGUUUGAAGCCUGUUUUGCGUGAUUUAAGCUUCAGGUGUGACAGUUCAUUGGGGAAGGAAGUUCUUGGCUCAUCCAUCAUGUCAAGAUCAUGAUCAAUUGUUGUGGCGUUCUUGUUGAGGUCAACCGUCACUGUGGUCACUUCAUCUUCCUCCUCCUUGGCAACCUCCUUUGAUUCUUCUGCCUGUGGGGGAGAAAAGCUUUGUGGAAGCUUUUCUCUACUGAACAGCGCAUCGAAAGCCAUACGACCCUGUCAACAAAAAUGUGAAUUAGAAAAAUGAUGGAUGCUCAAAUAUUUAGAUAGAAGUGAUUUUGCAUAUUGUUGGUAGGCUACAACCUCUUCAGAAACUUCCUUCCAUGAAUCACUUGUGCUUCCACUGCUUCUAAAUUUGCGGUGGUUAGUGUCACCGGCUGAAGAGUUACUGCAGGAGGCUUGCUUUGCCUUGUCAUUGGCCUUAUCUUCUUUCUCAGGAACAUUUCCUGCCUCUACAUCGCUACUUGAAGGUGUGUUGGAGCCACAUGAAGAGCGAUCCUGCUUUUUCUUAUUCCUGAAUGCAUCACUAAUGUCAGCUCCUGUAGUAGGUGCAGCAUCAGUAUUCUGGACAGGAGAUAUCUUUAACUCAGUAUGGAGAGACAUGUCGCCUUUUCUAGUCCCAUCAGACUCUGAAGACACAGCAACUCUCAAAGCUUCAGACUGGCCUUGUUUCUGAGCCUCUUGGCAUCCCUUCUGUGCAUUUUCAACUGGGGAAUCUCUGUCUUUGUCUAAAGGUCGUGGAACAUCUGCUGUGGGAAAGGCAGCACUAGGAGCUGGUACAAAUGGAAAAGCCAUGGGGGGAGUGAAAAAAGGGAGAAGACCUUGUGUUGCCCACCAUGCAGAUGCUGCAGCAACUGUAGCUGCUACAAUAGAAGCCAUGCUUGGAGGAGAGCCUAAGUUCCUUCCUUGAACACCCUCUGCAGGAUUUUCUUGAGUUGGAUCAACAGGAGUGUUACCUUCUGCUGCUGGCCAGUACGAUGCUGCGAGCCUAGCGGCUGCAUGGAUGGCAGGGUUUGACAACAAUGUGGAAACAAGCAUGCUGGAGAAAGUGGAUGACAUGUUGACGAAUGUUCUGUAGGUAUCUUGGUUGCAGUUGCACUGCAUCAUCGGAGCAAAGGCAGCAUAGUUAUGAGGAAAAGGUUGUGGUGUGGCACUGCUAUCAAAUUUUGGAUCCGUAGAAAGCAUUGGAUGGAUGCAUGGGUUCAUACUUCCAUUGACUCCCACUUGAUCGCCUGUUUGAUCAGGACGAGUUCCGUCAGUUCCAGUAACAGGAAUGCUAGUUGCCCCAUUUCUCUCCGCCAGGGAGUGUGAGGUCCUUGCAGUUUGUUUGUCCACGUAUGUUGUCUCCGAAGACUUUGGCUUUAGCUUCAUUUGUUGCAUUGAGAAGUCCAAAUAUUCUUCAUUAGAAUAGUCACAUUUAGAGCUGACGUGGAUUCCAUUAACCCUUCCAAUUUCCGGAACAUCGAUCUCUUUUACAUCCUCUUGCAUGGUGGGAUUAAUAGAAUUCUUUUCUGUGGUGGUCAUAUCUCG
RNAcentral lists this long non-coding RNA (1793 nucleotides) under Setaria viridis. RNAcentral describes it as "long non-coding RNA (SVIR_LNC006309)". The record is from RNAcentral. Lineage: Eukaryota; Viridiplantae; Streptophyta; Magnoliopsida; Poales; Poaceae.